CAGCCGCCGCGGUAAUACGUAGGUGGCAAGCGUUGUCCGGAAUUAUUGGGCGUAAAGGGCUCGCAGGCGGUUUCUUAAGUCUGAUGUGAAAGCCCCCGGCUCAACCGGGGAGGGUCAUUGGAAACUGGGAAACUUGAGUGCAGAAGAGGAGAGUGGAGUUCCACGUGUAGCGGUGAAAUGCGUAGAGAUGUGGAGGAACACCAGUGGCGAAGGCGACUCUCUGGUCUGUAACUGACGCUGAGGAGCGAAAGCGUGGGGAGCGAACAGGAUUAGAUACCCCCGUAGUCCCUGUCUCUUAUAC
RNAcentral lists this ribosomal RNA (301 nucleotides) under uncultured bacterium. RNAcentral's name for it is "partial 16S ribosomal RNA". It matches the Rfam family "Bacterial small subunit ribosomal RNA", at positions 509 to 807 of the family's 1533-position model. The record is from RNAcentral.